Molecule: long non-coding RNA, 1004 nt
Organism: Mastomys coucha (southern multimammate mouse)
Lineage: Eukaryota; Metazoa; Chordata; Mammalia; Rodentia; Muridae
Exons: 3
Source: RefSeq, a predicted model, not a curated record
UCCUUGGAACAAGAAGGUUUCUCAAUGAGGAGCAGUUCCUGUCAGGACUCUUGAUGGGAAGGCCGGGAACAGGCCCAGCCUCUGCUUUCCCUCUUUUCCUUCUUUUGGCCUUUUGAUCCUUUGUGGUACCACAAAGCACUGUGUGCAGUUCUUGGAACUUCAUCUAGGAGAAGACGGUUGUGCUUAAACCAGGAUGGACAGCAGCCUCUCUUUCUUCUAAACAAAGGGACACAAUUCAAACCUGGAGAAGAACGGUUCUUUAUAUGGAUCUUAAUAUUUUGUAGAGGCUGAAAUGAGAUUCAGGCCAGUGCCUUUGGAUUAGGAGGGCAGAAAAUCUUUGCUUUCACCCUGCUCCUUCUUCAAACUCUCUAACCAUUCUGAGAGUGAACAUUACUUAUCCUACUUUGACGAUGGACUAUGAAGAUGUCUCAGAGAGGAUGUCUUCUGCCCAACACAGAGUGGAGCUUAGCCUUCUGUCUAGGAUUCUUUGGCUCAAAAGCUUGUGGGUGCCUCUCCAGGAGGGAAUGGCCCUGAUUGAACUCACACUAUUCAACUGAUCUGCUUUGAUUAGGCUCUUUGGAGGAGAAAAGGAUUUAAGUGUAUGGAUGUUUGAUCUCCAUGUAUGUCUACAUGAUAUGUGUGCCUGGUGCCUGCAGAAGCCAGAAGAGGGUAUGAGAUCCCUUGGAGCUGGAGUUACACAAACAACUGUUAACAGCCACAAAGGUGCUGGGAACCAAAUGCAGAUCCUCUGUAUGAUCAGAAAAUGCUUUUAACUGACCACCUCUCCAGCCCAUGAUAUGACUUUUUAUGAUGUAUGUGGUAGAUGUAUAUGCAGAUGUACGUAGGUACAUGCACCCAUAUGUGCAGUUGUAGAAGAGGUCAAACUGGGUAUCUUUCUCUAUCACUGUCUGAAAGGAAAAUUUAAAGCUUUAGACCUGUGCUGACUAGGAAGAAAAGUUAUGGGCCUAAGAAUCCAUCACAAGCUGGCCCACAUAGGCCUGAGA